This 1346-nucleotide ribosomal RNA is filed under the name uncultured bacterium. RNAcentral describes it as "partial 16S ribosomal RNA". It matches the Rfam family "Bacterial small subunit ribosomal RNA", at positions 28 to 1381 of the family's 1533-position model. The record is from RNAcentral.
GACGAACGCUGGCGGCGUGCUUAACACAUGCAAGUCGAACGGAAAGGCCCUGCUUUUGUGGGGUGCUCGAGUGGCGAACGGGUGAGUAACACGUGAGUAACCUGCCCUUGACUUUGGGAUAACUUCAGGAAACUGGGGCUAAUACCGGAUAGGAGCUCCUGCUGCAUGGUGGGGGUUGGAAAGUUUCGGCGGUUGGGGAUGGACUCGCGGCUUAUCAGCUUGUUGGUGGGGUAGUGGCUUACCAAGGCUUUGACGGGUAGCCGGCCUGAGAGGGUGACCGGCCACAUUGGGACUGAGAUACGGCCCAGACUCCUACGGGAGGCAGCAGUGGGGAAUAUUGCACAAUGGGCGGAAGCCUGAUGCAGCAACGCCGCGUGCGGGAUGACGGCCUUCGGGUUGUAAACCGCUUUCGCCUGUGACGAAGCGUGAGUGACGGUAAUGGGUAAAGAAGCACCGGCUAACUACGUGCCAGCAGCCGCGGUGAUACGUAGGGUGCGAGCGUUGUCCGGAUUUAUUGGGCGUAAAGGGCUCGUAGGUGGUUGAUCGCGUCGGAAGUGUAAUCUUGGGGCUUAACCCUGAGCGUGCUUUCGAUACGGGCUGACUUGAGGAAGGUAGGGGAGAAUGGAAUUCCUGGUGGAGCGGUGGAAUGCGCAGAUAUCAUGAGGAACACCAGUGGCGAAGGCGGUUCUCUGGGCCUUUCCUGACGCUGAGGAGCGAAAGCGUGGGGAGCGAACAGGCUUAGAUACCCUGGUAGUCCACGCUGUAAACGGUGGGUACUAGGUGUGGGGUCCAUUCCACGGGUUCCGUGCCGUAGCUAACGCUUUAAGUACCCCGCCUGGGGAGUACGGCCGCAAGGCUAAAACUCAAAGGAAUUGACGGGGCCCCGCACAAGCGGCGGAGCAUGCGGAUUAAUUCGAUGCAACGCGUAGAACCUUACCUGGGUUUGACAUGGAUCGGGAGUGCUCAGAGAUGGGUGUGCCUCUUUUGGGGUCGGUUCACAGGUGGUGCAUGCCUGUCGUCAGCUCGUGUCGUGAGAUGUUGGGUUAAGUCCCGCAACGAGCGCAACCCUUGUUCACUGUUGCCAGCACGUUAUGGUGGGGACUCAGUGGAGACCGCCGGGGUCAACUCGGAGGAAGGUGGGGAUGACGUCAAGUCAUCAUGCCCCUUAUGUCCAGGGCUUCACGCAUGCUACAAUGGCUGGUACAGAGAGUGGCGAGCCUGUGAGGGUGAGCGAAUCUCGGAAAGCCGGUCUCAGUUCGGAUUGGGGUCUGCAACUCGACCUCAUGAAGUCGGAGUCGCUAGUAAUCGCAGAUCAGCAACGCUGCGGUGAAUACGUUCCCGGGGCU